UUAGAUUACCUCAUCCUAUCCACAACAAUGGCGAUAACCCCGGCCAAAAGCAGCCAAUCCGUAUCCGUCAGUCAAACCACUCCGAAUGUGCUCUGUUCAUGGGUUCAUGGGUCCAUGACGAAUCCUACCCGAUCUACAAAGCCUCUUCCUGCCCGAUUAUCGAUCCAGAGUUCAAUUGCCAAAUGUAUGGCCGACCCGACUCCGAUUACCUCAAGUAUCGAUGGAAACCUGCCAAUUGUGAACUCCCGAGGUCAGUUUCGAAUGUGAAUUUCUACUUGAUUGUAGCUGUUGUAAACAUUAACGAUUUGUAUCGUUUGUGAUUUGAGCAGGUUUAACGGACUCGAAUUUCUGAUGAACAUGAAAGGGAAGAAGGUGAUGUUCGUCGGAGACUCACUUGGGCGAAACCAAUGGGAGUCAUUGAUUUGUAUGACGUUGUCGGCGGUGCCACAGUCCGCCACCAAGAUGAUUACCGGCGAUCCUCUCUCCACAUUUAAGUUUCUGGUAAAGCAUUUAUCUGAUUUUGACUACUCUGUAAUUGAUCGAUUUGAAUAUGGUGGGUGGAGUGGCGCUUAAUUUGUUUGAUGAAAAUAUGUGAAUUAGGAUUAUGGGGUGGAUGUGGCGUUUUAUCGAGCGCCGUAUCUGGUGGACAUUGACGCCGUGGAUGGGCGGAGGGUGCUUAAAUUGGAAGAAAUCUCGAAGAAUGCACGGGCGUGGAUGUCCGCCGAUGUUCUGUCGUUUAACACCGGUCACUGGUGGAGUCAUAAAGGCUCCCUUCAAGGGUUAGUAAAUAGUAAUUGUUUUUUCAUGUAUUUUUAUAUUUAUCCAACAAUAAAAUAACCAUAAAUAAAUUAUAUAUAUAUAUGAUUUCGUCAUAAGUUGUUACAUGAAAUUAAGUGAUGUUUGGAUAGAAAUAAAAUAACAAAUAAAAUCUAGAAAGGAUAAGCAUUUAAAUUUAAUUGGCAUAUAUUUUGUUAUUCAAAAACGAAAAAGGUCUUUACUCUGUAAAUAAAUAUUGUAGAGUGAUUAUACAAUAUUAAAUAAUCAACACAAAUGUAAUACUAGUACUAUAUAAGCAUAAUUUCAAUGUUUAUGUUGAUUUUUUUUGGUAUUGCAUUUUUGUCAAUCUUGAUUAUUCAAGAAAAAAAAUUGAUAAAGUAAAGAUACUUAAAUAGUUGUAUUAUACCAUAUAUAAUCGUUUUUUUUUGUUUGAAUAUGACUUUUAAAAAAAACAAUUAUUUAUUUUUACAACUUCAAGUUGUAAUAACCAUUUUUAAUGUUUUUGUAGCUCAUAAUAUCAAUAGAAAAAAUAGGGAGCACGAGAUUUGUGUGUACUAAUUUGAGUAAGAGGAUUAGUCAACGAUGGGUUAAGUAAUAUUUAGAUGAAGCUGAAUAAACAAGUAGUGAGCAACAUACAUGUGAUAAACAUAUUUGGUCCAAAAGUCAAAACAAUUACAAAACCGACGCUAUCAUAAUUCAUAACAAUAUUUUAAUAUAACUUAAUUUAUAUAUAACUUAGGACAAGAUAUAAUAUAAAUCUAUCUAUAGGUUAAAAGUCGUACGUCAUAUCUGAAUUCUUGGAUACGCCACUAUGUUAAAUUGAUGAUGAUAAUGAUACAGGUGGGACUUGAUCGAGUCAGGUGGACAUCUUUAUGAGGAUAUGGAUCGUCUUGUCGCAUUGGAUACAGGCUUAAAAACAUGGGCUCGAUGGGUUGAUUCUAAUGUUGAUACAAUUACGACCCGAAUUUUUUUCCAAUCAGUGUCCCCUACCCAUUAUAAGUAAGUCUUUUUAUAUUUAAAUAAACCAAUUUUCUAAAAAAACUAAUUCGGUUCUUAACUAAUUUUGACAAGAAAAAUGUUAACCAAUCUAAUUCGGUUAUCAACGAUUUUUUUUUCCAUGAAAUAAGAUGGGUAAAAUAAAGUUAAAAUUCUAAUAGAAAAAAAAAAGUAAUUAAAAAUUUAGGGUCCAUCAACAUAAAUACAUAAUAGCGGAAUCAAUAGUUUAGCUGUCCUAAUUGGACCCAAUACUAUUGGCCUAGUUCCUAGCCACAAAUUUCUAUUUAUAUACUUGCCCACUCUAUGUUGCCGAUAAUAAUUUUUUAUAAUAUAAUAAUUCAAAUUAAAUAAUCAAAAGUAAAUUUGUAAAUACAGGGGGAAAAGAUGUCUCACAAGAAAAAAAAAAAUAAUAAAUUCUAUUCACAUGCAAAUUGUGUGGUUGCCUUUCCCUUUGCAUUAAACCUUCCAACACUUUUGUCUAUAUUCUUGUUCUAUAAUAACUCGUCGGUGGUUACCUUUUACAGCCCAUCUGAAUGGAGCGCCGGUGCCACCAGUAUAGGAAAAAGUUGCUACGGCGAAACAAGUCCGAUGAGCGGGUCUACCUACCCAGGCGUCUAUCCUGAUCAAAUGAAAGUUAUUGACACUGUAAUACGUGAAAUGCAAAACCCUGCAUACAUACUUGACAUAACGACUUUGUCAGCAAUGAGAAAAGAUGCACACCCGUCUAUUUAUAGUGGGGACUUUA
Molecule: long non-coding RNA, 2518 nt
Filed under: Lactuca sativa (garden lettuce)
Lineage: Eukaryota; Viridiplantae; Streptophyta; Magnoliopsida; Asterales; Asteraceae
Description: long non-coding RNA (LSAT_LNC006081)
Source: RNAcentral